Molecule: long non-coding RNA, 436 nt
Filed under: Selaginella moellendorffii
Lineage: Eukaryota; Viridiplantae; Streptophyta; Lycopodiopsida; Selaginellales; Selaginellaceae
Description: long non-coding RNA (SMOE_LNC001493)
Source: RNAcentral
AGUUCCUGGCACAGGUCAAUUGAAAGCAUUGCGGGUGAGUAGAAACUGGGAGAGCAAAGGCAUCGAAGAGCACGUAAUGCUACAAGCUGUAAGUUUGCAUUUCCCGCAGGACUGUUUCCCAUUAUCCUUCCGCUGAACGAAGGAAAACUUCGGGCAUGAUGACUACGAUCAGAGACUUUCGACCCCUUGUUUAGCAAAAUGAGGACUGAUAAAGCCCAUAUGAGCAAGAAAUCGCUGUUGUUGAGUUCAACAGGUUUCAGCGUUGACAACUCGGUAGGCACUGCGUUUGAAGCAGGUACGGCAUCCACGGCAACAGCUUCCAGGAUAAGUGAAGAAACUUCGUGCAGGUGAGGUUGAAGCUUUGCAGCAAUAGCUGGUGACUCCAUUCCUUCCAAAAACGGUUUAUAAUUUUGCUGCACCAAACACAUAGUCUUUG